AAGCGGGCUCCAUGCCGGGAGCCCGACGCGGGACUCGAUCCUGGGACCCCAGGAUCACGCCCUGGGCUGAAGGCGGGUGCUAACGGCUGAGCCACUGGGCUGCCCAAAAGUCCCAUUUUUGACGCCAUCUGCUAUCCACGUGCCUCUUCUACAAAAGAAAAGGCCACAGAAGAAAGACCAUGUGAUCGUGUGAUGAUAACGGGGAGAAGAUGCGCAUCUACAAGCUGAGAGGCCUCUGAGAAACCAUCCUGCGGACACCUUGACCUCAGAUUUCCAGCCCCCGGAACUGAGGGGAAGUGCACCCUGUGGCGACAGCAGUUGGCAGCUAAUACGCUGCAAUCUGCCGAGCUUUUAAGAUAGGUGCGUUUUCAGUAUAAUCAAGUCCCUACUGGAGACGCGCGACGUCGCCGAUCUGGAGCUGUUACCAGGAAAGAAACAUGAGAGAGUCCUCGCAGUCCGGCGGGGGCAAGCGCCUGCCUGGGCUCAGGCCCUGAUCCCGGGGUCCUGGGAUGGGCCCCGACAGGGCGACCCGCUCGUCCCGCUUCCCCUGCUCAUGCUCACUUGCUCUCUCUCUCUCUCUCUCUCUCUAAGAAAUAAAAUGUUAACAAAAGGGCCCCCGCCGGGGUGAGUGUGCGCUAAGGCCGGAGAAAACACUGAUGUGGACGGAGAGCGGCGACGGAAACCGCCAGGAGGAUAGCAGGUGCUCGCUGGGCGAGGAUGGCCCGGAGGUGACCCGGGUGGGGGGGCCGGCAGCCUGGGUGAGCGGCCCGGGUGGGCCCCCCAGGAGGCCUGCGUGCCCAGCCACACUGUCCGCCCGGCAGGGAGUCACGGAGAACGGAUUUAAAGGACGUGGAGAUGGAAAUCGGGGCCAAGUGUGCGCAGGC
Molecule: long non-coding RNA, 884 nt
Organism: Canis lupus familiaris (dog)
Lineage: Eukaryota; Metazoa; Chordata; Mammalia; Carnivora; Canidae
Exons: 3
Source: RefSeq, a predicted model, not a curated record